RNAcentral lists this ribosomal RNA (1347 nucleotides) under Xeda amplipennis. RNAcentral describes it as "partial 16S ribosomal RNA". The record is from RNAcentral. Lineage: Eukaryota; Metazoa; Arthropoda; Insecta; Coleoptera; Curculionidae.
GAGGAACCUGCCCUAUAAUUGAUGAUCCACGAUUUAAUUUACUUAUUCUUUAAAUUUACAUAUCGCCGUAGGUUGAAUAUUCACUAAAGAGUUAAAAUAUUCAAGAUUUUUUAAGAAAAAUAAAUCAGGUCAAGGUGUAGUUUAUGGAUAAGAAGAGGUGGGUUACAAUAAAUUUAUUUAUUACGGAUUUUAAAAUGAAUAUUUUAAAUGAAGGAGGAUUUGAAGGUAAUUAUAUUUAAAUUAAUAUAAUGAUUCUAGCUCUAAAAUACGUACAUAUCGCCCGUCGCUUUCAUUAUAAAAUGGAAUAAGUCGUAACAAAGUAGGGGUACUGGAAAGUGCCCCUAGAAAGUCAAAUUAGAGCUAGAUUAAAGCAUUUUAGUUACAUUAAAAAGUUUAUUGUAAAUUCAAUAUAAUUUGAACUUUUAUUAUUAUUGUUUUAUCAGCUUCCUGGUGAAUUUUAUUUGCAACUUAAAAUAAGAAUAUUUUUGUUAAGUAAUUUUUAUGAACAAAUUAUAAUUAUUAUAGUAAAUUAGUAUUGUGAAAGAAUUAAUAAAAGUAAAUAAAAGAAAAAUUCAUUUUUUGUACCUUGUGUAUCAGGGUUUAUCAAAUAUAAAUUAAAUAUUUAAUUUUCCCGAAUUAAUAAGAGCUAAAAUUAUAUAUCUAUUUUUGUUGAAUAAAAAUUGUUAAUAUUAUUUUAGAAGUGAAACGCUAUUCGAUUAUUAAUAUAUCUGGUUUUUAAAGAAAAAAGUUUAAUUUUUUUAUAAAUAAAUAUAAUUUUAAAUUUUUAAUUUUAUAUUUUUUAUAUUUUAUAUCUUAAGGGAUGAGCUUUAAGGUAGAUUUUUUUAAAGUUAAUAGAAUUUCUAGAUAAGUAGAAUUGUAAGUUUUUAUCUUUAAAAGUGUGUUGUUACUUUUUUAGUAAAAAAUAUAAUUUAUAUAUUAAUUUUGAAGUGAUUUAUUUAAAUUAAAAUUUUAAUAAGAAAAAUUUUGUAAUAAUGAUAAAAUAAGUAUAAAAUUUUGUUUAAAUUUAUAUAGAUGAAAGGUUGAAUAAAGGAAUUCGGCAAAUUUAUUUUUCACCUGUUUAUUAAAAACAUGGCUUUUUGAUUAUAAUUUAAAGUCUGGCCUGCCCACUGAGGAGUUAAAUGGCCGCGGUAUUUUGACCGUGCAAAGGUAGCAUAAUCAUUAGUUUUUUAAUUGAAAGCUGGUAUGAAAGGUUGGAUGAGAAAAUAACUGUCUCUAUUUAAUUUUUUUAGAAAUUUAUUUUUAAGUAAAAAAGCUUAAAUAAUAUUUGAAGACGAGAAGACCCUAUAGAGUUUUAUUAUUUUUUGUUUAAAAUUUAUUAGUAUUAAG